This 542-nucleotide long non-coding RNA is filed under the name Homo sapiens (human). RNAcentral's name for it is "novel transcript". The record is from RNAcentral. Lineage: Eukaryota; Metazoa; Chordata; Mammalia; Primates; Hominidae.
UGUUGGACCAGUGCGGACGCGUCUUGGAGUUCGGGUCGAAUCCUGAGUGGAGGCUGUAGCGCGGACGCGGCUUCCGUUUCCCCGGCGAUGGUGUCCUGGACUGAAGAGACUGACUGGAGUGCAUGUUACUGCCGACAAAGUUUCAGAACACCGGCCAGCGCAAGACCACCGACAUCAGACUGAGAUACAACGGCAGCGAUCCUGGAUUUGCAGGGCCAGGAUAAACAAGGGACUGUAGAGACCAUUUUGUCCCAUUCAUUAAUUUUUAGGCAGAACACAGAUCUAGAGAGAAUAGAUGACUUGCCCCAAGCUACCCCGCGAAGGAGGAGGAGGGCCACGGAUAAAUAGUGUGCUUCGAGAAUCUUAACUCUUCGGGGUCAACCUCUCCUUCUACGCCAAGGAAACAGGAUCUUCCUGCAACCCCCCGAGACAACCACCGAACAGUCACCCAACUUAGCACUAGGGCCCAGACGUUCCGUCGAUCGAAUGUACCACGCUCGAUUUCUAGGUCUUUAGCACAACGCAGGAUAAGUCGAUUGGUC